UGGUUAACUACUCUCAACACAAGGUCUUUAUAGCCCCUUUUCUUUGUAAAAUAUCAUUAGCUACUUACUUCUGAUGGCAUACGUAGCUGUCAAAUUGUUCAAAUGGAUGUGGAGGAAACCAAAGACCGUUGACUGCAAAAAAUUGAUGGAACGACAAUCACUCCUAGAGCCUUUUAGUGCAAUCCUUUUUUACACUAAUUAAAAUAAAAAGAUAUUAUCAAGCGAAACUAAUUUCUUUGGCAGUUUUAAAAAUUUAUAAUUAAAUGCCUAUUGAACAAA
Molecule: long non-coding RNA, 279 nt
Organism: Tribolium castaneum (red flour beetle)
Lineage: Eukaryota; Metazoa; Arthropoda; Insecta; Coleoptera; Tenebrionidae
Exons: 2
Source: RefSeq, a predicted model, not a curated record